This 675-nucleotide ribosomal RNA is filed under the name Triticum aestivum (bread wheat). Its description in RNAcentral is "partial small subunit ribosomal RNA". Lineage: Eukaryota; Viridiplantae; Streptophyta; Magnoliopsida; Poales; Poaceae. The record is from RNAcentral.
AUGGUCGCCGCAGUGCGGUCCGGGAUGCGCAUCAGAAUGGAGGAAAUGGCGAGCCUCGACGUCAACGUCCCAUGGAGCUUGAUCAACCGCAUCAAAGCAGAGUGCGGCAGCGACUGCACGGUGUUCGACGCCAUUGUCGCGCUUAUCUGGCAGUGCCGCACCCGCGCGGUCAUCUCCGACCCCUACGCGCCCGCGCCCCUCGUCUUCACGAGCAACAUUCGAGGGCUCGUGGGCGCCAAGCGCGGCUACUACGGCAACUGCCUGAUGGGGCAGACGGUCCAAGCGAGGAGCGGCGCGGUGGCGAGCGGCGACGUCAAGGACCUGGUAAAGCUCAUCAGGUUUGCCAAGGAGGACAUACUCAUGAACGGCGGUGGGGGCGCCGAUGGUGGUGGGGAUCAUCGGCGGCAGCAGCAGACGCCCCCGCCGAGCUACUCCAAGUACAACACGCUGGCUGUGACGAGCUGGAGGAACAUUGGGUUCGACGCGGUGGACUUCGGGCGUGAGAGUCCAGCGCGGGUGAUGCCACCGAUGUGCAAGCCGGAGCAGACGGCGGUGAACCUCUGCAUUUUGUGUCCGCCGUGCAAGGGGAAGGACGGUGUCAAAGUCGUGUCCCAGUGCGUCAAGCCGGAGCACGCCGAUGUCUUCGUUCAGGAGUUGGCCGCCCCGGGUAUAUAG